Molecule: long non-coding RNA, 2537 nt
Organism: Mauremys reevesii (Reeves's turtle)
Lineage: Eukaryota; Metazoa; Chordata; Testudines; Geoemydidae
Exons: 5
Source: RefSeq, a predicted model, not a curated record
GAAUAAUACUACUGGCCAGAUAAAAAUAUAUGAUAGUAAGCAAUAAGAAAUACAGAAAAGAAAGGGGAGAAGUGUUGAAGCAUUUGAAAUAAGACGUAUUAAGUCACAAACUGGGACCCAAAGCUGUGUUUCCUACAGGAAUGCCAAAACCUAGCCAUGGACACUAAACUCCAUUUUGUACUUCAAGAUCCCAGCAUAUCAACUGCCAGAAAGUCUUUUUCUCUGGAAGAUCCAACUCCUUCAUCCAAGAAGCACUUUGGUAAAUGUUCCAGGGUUUCACCAGUAAAAUCUACUGCUGCAUCUGGUACACACCCUACAAGGUCACAGUUGGUCAAAUUCAGAGCUGGGGUAAGUGGAAUUCAAUUGCAUUUGUGCCUACUGCUGGCUAGUGUUAAAUUUGGUCCUAUAACUAUCAUCGACUUUUUGGGUCCUUUUAAAAUGUAGCCUCUUAAAGGGAUUUUUACACUGUUUUGAUUUAAUUGUGGUUUUAAUUAUUCUAAGGUUCAGGUAAGGUGCUUAGAAAUUAAUUACCAGAUUAGCCACUUUAGGAAUAAAAUGUUUCUUAUUUCAGUUGACAUCUGAUGUUAGCAUAAGAGAUGAUGUUGACAGACCAAGCACAUUGUCCUAAUCAGCUAUCUCUUUGGGAUAAAAGGCUAGCUCUUUGGGAUAAAAAUAAAUAAAAUUAAAUUACUUUUUCAUUUUUUUUUUACUGGUUUUAAUACAAAUUUCUGGUAGUUAGUGCUCACAAAAAAUGCCAGACAAUCAGACCAGUCAGCAGAGACAAAUGAAGUUGCCCCAAUCUCCACCACCUGCCUCAAACUUGGCUUGAAAGGAUGACCUCUUGGGAUUGAUAGGGUAAUUCAGUCUCCAUGCUCAGUCAAAUCUUUGGUCUUUCAGCAGAGACUGCCAAUGAGGCUGUCAAAUUAGUGCUUAGUGAGGUGGUGUUUUUGUGAUGUGGCUGCCUCUCAUAUAAGUCAGCAAACCUAUUUCAUAUAGGCUAUCAAAGAGCCGCUAUCAGCAUGGGCUGGAUUCAAACUAGCCACCUAGAGGUGAAUGAAUCAAUAUCCAAUUACCAAUUCCUGGAGACAUCUAGUCCCUCUCUGCUAAGUUUGUUUUAAAUAGGAACAAAAUGCCAAGAUAUUACCAUGAGACAAGAAUGCCAUCAUUGCUCUUUAGCAGGCUUUUAUAUUUUUUGUUAUAUUUUAUAUUGUUUUACCUCAUUUUAAUAUAUCUAAACAGCCUACUACUAUUGCUCACAGUCAAAAUAGCUGGAGUGGCUGGAAGAAACGGAAGAGCAACUACAGUAUUUCAUGUGUUAUUUUAAAAUAUAGCAAUAGCAUUGUGACAGGCUGAAGUAGCUCUACCUGAGCUCUGGCAGACUCCCCUUCAGGCAAGUGGUGAGACAGUCAGCCAGGCUCAGGAGUUCAGAGUUAAAUCAGGAAUUGCCAUGAUAACAUGUCUGUGAUACACAAGAGAGUGUGAGUGUUUGUCUAAGGAGGAGGCAGAAAACCACACCCAUUAGUUUGAAGGGGUAGAUUGUCUUGGAAUCAGAGCUGGGCCUUUUCCUUUUGAUUUCAACUUGAGAAGGCUUGAGGAGAAUAUGAGUGCCCCAUCUGUGUAGGUGUCUGCUGACCCACUGCUUCUGCACCUAGUGGUUGAUGAGGGAAUCCCAACUAUUCCCAGGGCCUCAGAAGUUCCAUCCUGGGAGCUCUUACUCUGCUUCUGUUGGGCGGUGAAGCUGGAAAAAAGGGAGUUUCUGGAGCCUCUGCAAGGGGAUGUCUCCAAGGAUUACUGUAUUGUAAUAGCACUGAUCAGAACUAAGGUUAGAAAUGUUCUGUUUUAAAAUAAGAGUAAACAACCAGCAAGCAUGACUGAUGCCCCUACCUAUGGAACUCUUGAUCAACGAGGUCAGGAUGAACUCAAGGUGCAUCAAUUGUAAAGUACACUGCAAAGCCCAUCUUUGUGGGAAAGCUUUCCCCUGUAACAAUGGCUGAAGUCCCACUGAACUACAUACAUGAAGAAGGGAAGGGAGAAAAAUAAAAUCCCCCCGUAUAAGAAACAGUUGGCAAAAUUUAGGAGCAGUGGGAAAACUGAAGUCCUCUGUGGAUAAAAUGCAGGUGUUAUUUUUUUUUAUUUAGUGUCUAUCAUAUUUAUUGCAGUGAUGGGUGCUUUCUAAGUGACUAACAUAGGUAAAUGCUUUGAGGGGGCUGAGAGGAGGAGAUGUUUCUGCAGAUAACACAAUACAACAGUGUAGAUAAAGCCAGUAAUUCAAAACUGCCUGUUUAUUUUGUAUAAAUACAUGGAUCUGAGUCAUAAUUUCAUGUCCUGUACAGGUUCCUGCCCCCAAGCUUAGUCAGAGGGCGCCCUCCUUCUUAUUUUAACUCUAGUAGUUUCUCCUACCAUUUGGGCUGCUCCUCCUUUACUGCCAAAAUGGGUUUGUGCCGAUGGAGCAACUUUGCCAUACCACUCCCACAGCUCCUCUUCCCUCCCUUCCCUGUUAUACCUGCCCACCAUCACCAAGGUAACAUUCAGUUUCA